RNA transcript from Ctenopharyngodon idella (grass carp), 10476 nucleotides. RefSeq lists it as uncharacterized. The transcript has 10 exons. NCBI's taxonomy places the organism in Eukaryota, Metazoa, Chordata, Actinopteri, Cypriniformes, Xenocyprididae. The record is from RefSeq and is a predicted model, not a curated record.
ACAACCCGUGACGUCACUAGCAACAACAUUAUUGUCCGUCUGCUCAGCUGCGCUUCCUCCUGACAUGCUGAAUGAUGCAUUAACCAAACUUGUAACGUUAGUUCAUACAUUAACAAAAUAAAAUAGCUGGAACGUACUACAGUCGGCUGGACAUGAUGCGACGAAUUACGCGCGCCUAAAGGAUAUUUAUUUCGGUUCGCGGUUCAUAGUCUCAAUCAGAUGUAAUGAGCUCGAUGCUAACAGUGCGAGGAUUUUAUGAUCGGGAUCUUUAUGAUUUUAUUAUGAGUGACUAGCCGUGAAAGUGUGAAGUGCAACAAUUACUGUGAAUUUUUAAACUGAGUUCCCAGAAUGCUCAUGUGUGGACUUAGUAGUCAGUAAGAAAUAAAAUAUUUGAGAUAGAAAUCAGUCAUGAUCACGGUUGUCUCUGUGCAUUCAGCGAUCAUUUCAUCUCUAUAAGAACGAGCUCGAGUAGAUCAGAUACAGGAUGACGGACACGCUGGUCCUCUCCUUCCAGACUCGGCUGUCUGGGGUCAUGGAAAAUAUUCUCAAAACCACCAUGUACGAGAUCACCAGGUUAGUGGAAGAGAGCUUCUUGGAGCAGAUGGAUCGAGGCAAACGAGAGGCGGAGGUGUUAAAACGGAGGCUGAUAGUGUCGGAAGCCAAACUGAGAGAACGGGAGAGAUUUAAGAGAGUGAGGUGUGUGGACUGUGGGCGGACAGCAGUGUCCAGGAGGAGGGUACUACACAGAGGCCCCGAAACACAGAGCAGUUUGGACCAUCCACUUGUUGUAAAGCAGGAAAAUGCUUCUGACAAUAGCUGGAGGUGCAGUCCCAAGGGAAGCACAAAUCAGGAGCCUUCAGCAACUCUGGAAACUAAACAAAAUGCUAUUCAAGUGGGUGAACUUAAACCUGGAGGAGAAGUGAAAGAGGAAGCAACAGAGGCUAGAGAUGUGCAAGCUUGUCUAAUAAUACACUCUCAAUUACACAAACAAAAAGAUCCUCAAAGCAGUGUGGAAGAGACCAAUGGACUCCGCAAUACAGAUUCGGACCACAAACCAGGUGGAACGUCCUGCACUGAAAGACCUGGGGAUGAGGAUGAGGUCAGACACAGAAACCCCCCAAAAUGGUUUGACUCUAAAACAGACCCUUCAGCACGGUCAUCUGUUUCACAGCCAGAACCGGUCAGGACCUCAGUAUCUUCAGAGUCUCCGGGUUUGAGACCGCAGGUAAGCAGCAUAGACUCAGGGCCCGUUAAACAGGAAGUUAUAGUGAUGCUUCCACCAGACUGGGAGGAAAUGGAGAGAAUCAGGCCUCAGAUGGUUUCUGCUCACAACAGUGCUAAGAAGACACCGUUGGAUCUUCAGCCUGGAGAUCCUCUCACGGCUAGACCUCAAAUACAGGAGCGAGUCUCCUAUCCCGCGCCUCCCGUCAAGGUUCAGAGUCUUGCACCACAAGCCAUGCAGCAUCUCAGAUCACCCGUUAGGAAGAACGCAAAAAUUGUUUUACAUCCCAAUGCAGUUGUGACAGAUCACAGCGCCAGUGACGUAAACAGAGCACAAUCCAUCUGCAAAGGCCUUCCUACUCCAAAACCCUCUCAUGUUCGUCAGUACCCUGAAGGAGCGGCUACAGGUGAAAGAAAUUUUAGUACCGUACAUCCAGGAAGAAGCCUGCCGCAGAUGGUCAGUAUGAGGGUUCAAGGGGACACGCGUCACCAUUCGGCGAGGACGACGCACAAUUGCAACCAGUGUGGAAAAGGCUUCUCUCAUCUGUGUCACCUCAGAGCUCACCAACAGAUUCACACAGGUGAAAGGCAGUUCUGCUGUAACAUCUGUGGACGGAGCUUCACCAAACUGAGUAACCUGAAAGCACACCGCAGGGUUCACACUGGCGAGAGACCAUAUAUCUGCACAGACUGUGGUAAAAGGUUUACCCAGAAAUGCAACUUGAAGAGACAUCAGAGAAUUCACUCUGAAUUCACACACUCCAGUAGUAUAUGACAAGCCGUGGAGCUGUAAUAGUGGUAGAAUCUGUUACAUUACACAUGUUAGUUGAUGUUGUUUCGCUGAAUGGCUAAGUUAUUUUUAAUAUCAUGCAUCAUAUUAAAAGCUACAUUAUGUUCUGAAAAAUUUCUUUUGCAGUGACGUGACUGGAUCACUCAGGGGAAAAUGCAGAUUGUAUCGUAUUAUAUUAAAGCACAGGACUUAUCCGCUCACUUUGGAUGUUACAGGCUAUUAAUGUAGGUGAGUUGGUCUCACAAAUUAAUGUCCAAAUAAAUAAAUGCUUUGUUUCACCCUAAAAUCAAAAUAAAUGCAAUUAUAUUUACAAUAAAGACCUAAAAAAAAGCUUGUUUUAGGACCUUAAAGAUUGUUAUUCAUUAUUUGUAUGUCAGAUUUAAGCAAAUUUGCAUACAUUUUUAAAGUGUUUUUAUUUAAAUCAGUAUAAAUUAAACAAAAAAAAUGCAACCAUGGUGUAUACUUGUAAUCGUACACAUGUACAUUACAAUUUAAAGUAUGUAUAUACAGUAUCUCACAGAAGUGAUUACACCCCUCACAUUUUUGUAAAUAUUUUAUUAUAUCUUUUCAUGUGACAACACUGAAGAAAUGACACUUUGCUACAAUGUAAAGUAGUGAGUGUACAGCCUGUAUAACAGUGUAAAUUUGCUGUCCCCUCAAAAUAACUCAACACACAGCCAAUAAUGUCUAAACCGCUGGCCACAAAAGUGAGUACAACCCUAAGUGAAAAUGUCCAAAUUGGGCCCAAAGUGUCAAUAUUUUGUGUGGCCACCAUUAUUUUCCAGCACUGCCUUAACCCUCUUGGGCAUGGAGUUCGGAGCUGCUGGAUGUUAGAGACCUUGUGCUCCUCCACCUUCCAUUUGAGGAUGCCCCACAGAUGCUCAAUAGGGUUUAGGUACCCUCAGCUUCUUUAGCAAGGCAGUGGUCAUCUUGGAGGUGUGUUUGGGGUCGUUAUCAUGUUGGAAUACUGCCCUGCGGCCCAGUCUCUGAAGGAAGGGGAUCAUGCUCUGCUUCAGUAUGUCACAGUACAUGUUGGCAUUCAUGGUUCCCUCAAUGAAUUGUAGCUCCUCAGUGAUGGCAGCACUCAUGCAGCCCAGACCAUGACACUCCCACCACCAUGCUUGACUGUAGGCAAGGCACACAUGUCUUUGUACUCCUCACCUGAUUGCCGCCACACACGCUUGACACCAUCCAAACCAAAUAAGUUUAUCUUGGUCUCAUCAGACCACAGGACAUGGUUCCAGUAAUCCAUGUCCUUAGUCUGCUUGUCUUCAGCAAACUGUUUGCAGGCUUUCUUGUGCAUCAUCUUUAGAAAAGGCUUCCUUCUGGGACGACAGCCAUGCAGACCAAUUUGAUGCAGUGUGCGGCGUAUGGUCUGAGCACUGACAGGCUGACCCCCCCACCCCUUCAACCUCUACAGCAAUGCUGGCAGCACUCAUACGUCUAUUUCCCAAACACAACCUCUGGAUAUGACACUGAGCAUGUGCACUCAACUUCUUUGGUCGACCACAGCGAGGCCUGUUCUGAGUGGAACCUGUCCUGUUAAACCGCUGUAUGGUCUUGGCCACCAUGCUGCAGCUCAGUUUCAGGGUCUUGGCAAUCUUCUUAUAGCCUACGCCAUCUUUAUGUAGAGCAACAAUUCUUUUUUUCAGAUCCUCAGAGAGUUCUUUGCCAUGAGGUGCCAUGUUGAACUUCCAGUGACCAGUAUGAGAGAGUGAGAGUGAUAACACCAAAUUUAACACACCUGCUCCCCAUUCACACCUGAAACCUUGUAACACUAACGAGUCACAUGACACCGGGGAGAGAAAUUGGCUAAUUGGGCCCAAUUUGGACAUUUUCACUUAAGGGUGUACUCACUUCUGUGGCCAGCGGUUUAGACAUUAAUGGCUGUGUGUUGAGUUAUUUUGAGGGGCCAGCAAAUUUACACUGUUAUACAAGCUGUACACUCACUACUUUACAUUGUAGCAAAGUGUCAUUUCUUCAGUGUAGUCACAUGAAAAGAUAUAAUAAAAUAUUUACAAAAAUGUGAGGGGUGAACUUACUUCUGUGAGUUUUAUAUAUAUAUAUAUAUAUAUAUAUAUAUAUACACACACACACACACACACACACACACACACAACCAUUCAGAAGAAUGGGGUCAGUAAGAUUUAUUUAGUUAUUUAUUUUUUUAAGAAAUUAAUACUUUUUUUUCUAGCAUGGACUCUUUAUAUAUAUAUAUAUAUUUUAAUUAUGGUUUCCACAAAAAUAUUAAGCAGCAUAAUUGUAUUCAGCAUUGAUAAUAAGAAAUGUUUCUUGAGCACCAAAUCAUCAUAUUAGAAUGAUUUCUGUAGGAUCAUGUGACACUGAAGACUGGAGUAAUGAUGCUGAAAAAUUUAGCUUUACCAUCACAGGAAUAAAUUACAUUUAAACAUAUUAAUAUAGAGCAUAAGAGACUUUUUUCAAAAAAAAAAAAAAAAAAAAAAUCUUGCAGACCCAAACUUUUGAAUGGUGGUGUAUUAACAGUAUUUUAUUAUUAUUAUUAUUAAUUUUAUCACAGUAGGCUCAGGAGGGAUGUACUUAAUUGUAUUGUAAUUGUAAUGGUCUUUAAAAUAGGCUUCAGUUUCUAUAUGCAAAAAAUUUGAUUUUUAUUCAUCUUUUUCUUUUGAUUUUGGGGUGAAAUAUGACCCGGACAGUUUCACCCAUGCUUUGGAAAUUUUCUCUGUUUGUUUAAAGUAUUUAAUUUACUUCCAAAAAUUCACUUCUUUAAUUCACUUUUUAAAAGCCUUGAUGAAUAAAACACAUCUACUCAAUAUUAUACUGUUAAAUCAGAUCCCUUUGAUUUGUUAGUAUAUUCAGAUGUGUAGCAUUAGCUCUUUCAAAUGGUGCAUAUACUCACUAUUGCAACAGCAUUACUGUUUUUUUUUGUUUUGUUUUGUUUUUUUUAUAUAAGAUAGCCAGUAAACUUUGCAGAACAAAUUGAUGUGCAUUUGCUGCUGUGGGCUGAAAUGGUUACAUGUUCACAUUUAGAUUUAGAUGUCAGUGCCGAUGUUGUAGGUUCAGACAUAUGCAGGAGUUUUCAGAUGACUAGGCCUAUUUUAAAAUGUAGCGACAUGUUGCAUGGCUCCAGUAUUCUUUAGAGUGUAAACAAAGAGUGACAGUGUAGCUGGUACAUUCAUGCCACCAUCCCAUCUGUUUAGUAGUUUUAUAUCUUUUGCUGAUUAAAUGCCACACACUGUGUUAAAUUACACGCUGAUUAAACUCUUCCAGUAAUGCAUGCAAACAGAUUAUUGGUGAUUCAGGUACACAGUAAGCCAUGUACAUUACAGGCUCUAUGACUGUAAUUAAAAUUACUUUCUUCUUUUUUCUGUGAAAAUUACAAAUCUGAAUAAUGAUGUUACAUUUGCAAUGGACCAAAUGGCUAAAGUGCAGGAAGUUCAUGUCUCUAUUUCUGUCAUAUGUUGUUUUUGUAAUGUUCAUUUCAACAAAAUUAAAUAGUUCUCCAGCUCUUUGGUAGAGUACUAACAUAUACAGUAUGUGCAUGUGUAUUGUGUUGUUCUCAUUUAGUCUUUUUUGAUAACCGACACAUUUUGCUUUCCUAUUGCACUUUAAAGCAAUACUCCACAAUUACAGCAGAUGAUACAAAACUUUAGGCCUGUGUAGGGCAAGAUGUGGCACUUAAGAUGUGUCCAUAAAAUUUUUUUAACAGAAGUAAAACUGAUACACUACAUUAUAUUUUAGAAAACCUUCUAGCAACUGUAUUUCUAUCAACGAUAUAAAUAUGACUCAAACUGUUUUUCUGAAAAAACAUUGGUCCAGUGAAACAACUUGUCCUAUGCCACCCUCUGGUGGUCUUCAGUCAUUUUUGACUGAAUUUUUAUUUAUUUAUUUAUUUUUACCUCAUCUGAAUGGCACAAAACUUGGUGACUUUUGGUGGCACUUGCUAUAUGAACACCAAAAAGAAAGAAAAAAUCAUGGAGAUGAUUAGAAAAGUCUAAACCGUCUUUACAAAAAUAGUGAUAAAAAAAAAAGGCCACCGGAAAUGAAUGCGAAAUACAAAAACAAACAAAAGUACAAAGCAUUUUUUUUGUGGUAUACACUCUACAAAUCAUCCAUCCGUGACGAAGUAGUCUUUUAGCCUAAUAAAAUUGCGUAAUAAUGUCUGAAAAUACUUUAUAUUUAUAUUUAUAUAAGGCCACACGGGCGUAUAGUGAUUGGCAUAUAUGAUUUUCUUUAUUUUUUCCACCAGGUGGCACCAAUUUGCCUUCCAUGCUUUGGAUUUUAAAUAUCUUUGCUUUAUUUUCAACUUAAACACUGUAUUAAUUGAAAAUAAUAUGAAAUAUUUUUUUCUGAUAUUUCUAUUAUUUUAUAUGGAAAUAAAUGGUGCAAAUAUUGAAUAUUGUCUAUUACCAUGAUACACACACAAAACACUAAAGAAUAAGUAUUAUUAAAACAAAAUAUAGUACAUUAAUUUCAUUUUGAAACAAAUGUUACACUUAUUGUUUUGGUCAGUUUAUAAUUUGUAAUAAAUACUGCAAUAUUCCAUUAAAAAUAAGAUUUUUUAUUUCAUGGUGACUUUAAUUACAGUAGACUAAAGUAAAAUAAUGGCUCUUCAUUGAUUAAUAAUUGAUAAAUUCCCUACAGGCAGGUUAUUGUCAUUUUUAUACACUUUUUAAUUUUUUUUUUUUUUUUUUUACACAAAUAUACAAUUUUAUACACGAAUACAUGUGGUUCCCUCAGUACACAUGUAGAGUAGGAUGUGUGGCAUCUUCCAGUCCACUGGAGGGCAGUAACAGGAAACAACCAACAUUUUCUGCAUCCGCUUAGGACGACACUGUCAUCUAACGAUCAUAUUACUGCAGUAAUAACGUCUCUAUUCAUAUUAUUUUGCGGGUUUCCUCUGAGAAAUCCGCUGCGCGAGGAUCGUUUUCAAAAGGGUGGUUAUUUUAAUCAGAGUCGUACAGUGCAUCAGGGUGUCCUCAAGGCGACAGGACGAUGUCUGAAGCCCUUUUCCUCACAUUCCAGUCUCAGCUCUCUGUUGUCAUGGAGACCGUCCUCAAAUCAGCCAUGUUUGAAAUAACCAGGCUGGUGGAAGACAGCUUCCUCGAGGAAGUGGGUCAUCGUAAACAGGAGGUGGAAGUCUUGAAACGAAGGCUGCAGCUGUCUGAAAGUAAACUGAGGGAGAAGGAGAGGGAAUGGGAACGGGGGAGGAAGACUCGGUGCUCAGACUGUGGCCGAAAGGGAGAUUCCAGCAGCAGAGAUGAGAGCCAACAUGUAGAGACAGUCCGGGGAGCAAACACCCUUUGUUUAGGCCUAAGCCUGAAAGAUCAAUCUACCAAUCAGCCUAAACUGACUGAAGAAAUGUGGAGUACAAGACAACGCCUGGAGUCUAACAAACAAACAACAACAACCUCACACUCUAAAGAGAAGAACGAUGUACACAGGCAUAGUGCAAAAGAGAUCAUCACACCUAACUCCAAUGCACCAAUUCCUCAGGAUUUUCUGCAGAGGCUUCUGGGAAAUUCAGCAGUCCAGAGCGAGUCCACUAGUGACUUCAAACCCAAAGUGAAUGAUUUAGACCAAUCCGAAAAGGACUUUACUCUUGAUAAGGAAAUGGACUCAACCCACUCAAGACUGAUACAAAGUCCUUCGGCUCAGGAUGUACACGAGAUUUUGCCAUCAUCUUCACCAAACGAAAGAGUAAAAUCAGAGACAGAGCUGGAUCUUCUACCUGUCAAGGAAGAGGAAGAGAUGGUUCCAGUGUGGGAUAGCGUCAACAGAGAUGACGGUUGCCAUGCAGAAAUGGCUGAUCCGAGUCAGGGAGAGCUCAGAGGAUCUUGUGAUCAGGAGGAGAUACAGGUAGAAAGCUUUCCAGGUCUAAACUCUCUCGACAUGCCAGACGCCACCUCAUAUUUCACACCUUAUUCAGUGAACACAUUGGCACAUCAAGGUAUUAGGGCACAAUAUAGUCAUUUAUGCACAACAGAGCUGAUGCUAUCUAGCGUACCAGAGAGGUCACAUUCAUUUGUCAAACCAGAAAACGAACAAAGUUAUCCUGGUUCAGAAAAUGCUGUCCGCUAUUCUCACAAUGAUGUUUGUCCAGGCGAGAAAACAGUCAGCCAUGAGCAAUACCCAAAGCGUUUCUCUCAGGACAAACAUGGGACGCCGGAACAAAUCCAAGCGGGAAGGUCCCACCAGUGCACGCAAUGUGGGAAAACGUUUGCGAGAGCAUGUGACCUCAAGGCUCAUUCGCAGAUCCACAAGGGCAAGAAACCUCUGAGCUGUUCGCAGUGUGAUCAGACGUUUGCGUACAACUUUGAGCUCAAGGUUCACCAGCGAAACCACUCAGGAGAGCGACCUCACGUCUGUCCGCACUGUGGCAAGGCCUUCGCUCGGAUGAGCAACUUCAGGCAGCAUCAGAACAUCCACACGCGGGAGAAACUCUUCAGCUGCACUCAAUGCGGGAUGCGAUUCAAUCGAGCCACCAACCUGCGAGUUCAUAUCAGACGACACAGCCACGCGGGGAAGUCUUGCAAUUGCCCUUAUUGUGGAAAGUGCUAUCUGAAUCCCAGGCAAAUGAAGACUCAUUUAUUGAAAGCCCAUGGAAGAGGAGGGAAAUAAAUGUAUCCAAUUUUCACUCCUUUUUUGAUCAAUUCAUGUUUACAUAUUAUAAAUGGUCUGCACUGUUAGAACUCAAGAAGACACCAAAGGACCCGCUGUCCCGUUUUUGCCACCUUAAAGACAACUAAACAACUGAACAGGACCUGGACAAAUUAUGCAUGAAAUCAUUUUAAACAGUACCUUUGCAUUACAGAAAGACAAGGAAACUUAGGUUUCCUUAUAGUCCUAAUACAUGCAUAUAGAAAUUGAAAUUACAGAUUUACUCCUAAAGGAAUUUUGCUGUUGUGCGAUUAAUGUGUAAUAGCUGGUAUAGAUUAUGUAUUUGAUGUUUUUAUGUAUUCCCUCCGACAAUGGUAAAGAUGCAAUAUACAGCAUAUACUCUUUCCUGAGAAUGUUUGUGGAUGUUUUUAACUUUAGAAUUUAUAAUUUCACUAAAAAGAUACCCUGGCCUUUACUUAAAUUGUGAUAUGUCCCUGUUCUUUGAAAUUUCAUGGCAUUUUGUUGGAAAAAAUAAAUGAACCAUCAGAUGUAGCGACUGGUAGCACCUCUAUCCCACCUCAGUCCCACCUCAGCAAGUCAGUUAGUCCAAACAUGCUCCAUUUCCUCUACUUCAGUCUUCCAUUCAGACUUCAAGUCUUCUUUUCAGUGUGUUUUAUUUUUUAUUUAUUUAUUUGCUGUGGAUUGAUGAACACUGAUGUUGGACAAUGCAAGACCUCCAUUUCCACAAGAGUUCUGUGAUCUCCUGCAGCAUUGUGUCUUGAUGCCUGCCUCUCCUGGAGUGAUUGUAAUCGGACAACCAUUAACCCCUACAUACAGAUUGGCCGAAGUUUUGCAGAUCACUCUUCCACGGAACAAGGAAAUUCACACCCCAUAAACAAGCAGAGAACUUUCAGUGUUGUGGCCAGGGAGAUCCUGACUCAGUUUCAGGUGUGGCAGAGGGCUUGCUAUAGCAGGAACAUUGAGUGGGGCCCGAUUACAGCAAAGAUCAUAUCUGCACUGCCGCAGUUGUAUGGACGGGAGGCAGAGGUGAUUGUAAGAUGUACUAAGAUGCUACACAACCGCAGAGAUUACCUUCGAAGGAGAGCAAAGAUGCAUAUUACUGUCCUUAAAAAAGGAGAAGGUCCCUGCAUCUCUAAGUGCACUCAGUGUUGUGACAAGUAUCACUGCCCAUUUUGUGAGACCUGGGUCUACAAGCCAAGAGAGUUAGGGAGCGUUGUUAACCACGUCAAGAAUCAUCUGAAGUUGGCCGUCCAGCUUCAUGAUUUCAGUAUUGUCAAGUGUAACUUAAAAUGCAGGCAAAAUGCACAUUUUCAUUGCUGCUACUGCUCUGCCACCGUUGUGCGGAAAGUACAAUUACAUAUUCAUCUCUCAAAAUGCAUCCAGAAGUUAACUGCUGAGCAGGAAUUUGAAGAAGAUUACUCACUUGAUGGAAGUCCUAAACAUGAGUAGUUUUUUUUUUUUCUUGUAAUAUCUUUCAUUUCAGCUAUUUUUUCCCUAGUUCUUAGAUUGUUUCACAAGUUCUUGGUUCCCUGUUAGUUAGAAGUUAUUCAGAAUUGUAGUAUUUGAUGGAUGAAGCUUUAUGGAAAUAAAUUAAAUUUUUCAGUUCAAUUCACAUUUAUUUGUAUAGCGCUUUUCACAAUACAUAUCGUGUCAAAGCAGCUUUACAGAAAAUGCAUGUGUCUACAUUACAAUUUAUAGUGAUUUGUUUUCAGAGGUGACUAUGUACAAGUUAUGUAUUUCAGAAUUGUACAUUUACAAAUCAUGCAGUUAGCUGACAAUGUAUUAGUUUAAACAAUGUAUUAAUUCAAAGCAGAAACAAUGAGCUCAAUGAAGUAAAGAAUACAUGAAAUAAACAUUUAUUAAAAAUG